GACGAACGCUGGCGGCGUGCUUAACACAUGCAAGUCGAACGGUAAGGCUCCAGCUUGCUGGGGUACACGAGUGGCGAACGGGUGAGUAACACGUGGGUGACCUGCCCUGCACUUCGGGAUAAGCCUGGGAAACUGGGUCUAAUACCGGAUAGGACCGCACCGUGAGGGUGUGGUGGAAAGUUUUUUCGGUGUGGGAUGGGCCCGCGGCCUAUCAGCUUGUUGGUGGGGUAAUGGCCUACCAAGGCGGCGACGGGUAGCCGGCCUGAGAGGGUGGACGGCCACAUUGGGACUGAGACACGGCCCAGACUCCUACGGGAGGCAGCAGUGGGGAAUAGUGCACAAUGGGCGGAAGCCUGAUGCAGCGACGCCGCGUGGGGGAUGACGGCCUUCGGGUUGUAAACUCCUUUCACCAUCGACGAAGGGUUUCUGACGGUAGAUGGAGAAGAAGCACCGGCUAACUACGUGCCAGCAGCCGCGGUAAUACGUAGGGUGCGAGCGUUGUCCGGAAUUACUGGGCGUAAAGAGCUCGUAGUGGUUUGUCGCGUCGUCUGUGAAUUCCGGGGCUUAACUCCGGGCGUGCAGGCGAUACGGGCAUAACUUGAGUACUGUAGGGGAGACUGGAAUUCCUGGUGUAGCGGUGAAAUGCGCAGAUAUCAGGAGGAACACCGGUGGCGAAGGCGGGUCUCUGGGCAGUAACUGACGCUGAGGAGCGAAAGCAUGGGGAGCGAACAGGAUUAGAUACCCUGGUAGUCCAUGCCGUAAACGGUGGGCGCUAGGUGUGGGUUUCCUUCCACGGGAUCCGUGCCGUAGCUAACGCAUUAAGCGCCCCGCCUGGGGAGUACGGCCGCAAGGCUAAAACUCAAAGGAAUUGACGGGGGCCCGCACAAGCGGCGGAGCAUGUGGAUUAAUUCGAUGCAACGCGAAGAACCUUACCUGGGCUUGACAUAUACAGGAUCGCGCCAGAGAUGGUGUUUCCCUUGUGGCUUGUAUACAGGUGGUGCAUGGUUGUCGUCAGCUCGUGUCGUGAGAUGUUGGGUUAAGUCCCGCAACGAGCGCAACCCUUGUCUUAUGUUGCCAGCACGUUGUGGUGGGGACUCGUAAGAAACUGCCGGGGUUAACUCGGAGGAAGGUGGGGAUGACGUCAAAUCAUCAUGCCCCUUAUGUCCAGGGCUUCACACAUGCUACAAUGGUCGGUACAGUGGGUUGCCAGUCCGUGAGGGCGAGCUAAUCCCGCAAAGCCGGUCUCAGUUCGGAUCGGGGUCUGCAACUCGACCCCGUGAAGUCGGAGUCGCUAGUAAUCGCAGAUCAGCAACGCUGCGGUGAAUACGUUCCCGGGCCU
Molecule: ribosomal RNA, 1339 nt
Filed under: uncultured bacterium
Lineage: Bacteria
Description: partial 16S ribosomal RNA
Rfam family: Bacterial small subunit ribosomal RNA
Source: RNAcentral